This 865-nucleotide long non-coding RNA is filed under the name Homo sapiens (human). RNAcentral's name for it is "non-protein coding lnc-MRPL14-5:1". Lineage: Eukaryota; Metazoa; Chordata; Mammalia; Primates; Hominidae. The record is from RNAcentral.
GGAUUUGAGUUAUUUUCUGUUGUCUUUUCCUUGCUCCAAUAUAGCUCUACUCUCUAGCAUUUUUGUGCUAUUAUUAUCAUAUAUAUUACAUCUUCAUAUGUUAUAAACCCAACAAUAUACAAUUGACCCUUGAACAAUGCAGAGGCUGGGACACUGACCCCCUUCACAGUUGAAAAUCUACGUAUAACUUUUGACUCCCCCCACAUUUAACCACUACUAGCCUACUAUUGACCAGAAGCCUAAUAACAUAAACAGUAUGUUAGCACAUAUUUUUCUAUGUUAUAUGUAGUAUGUACUAUAUUCUUACAAUAAAGUAAGCUAGAGGAAAGAAAAUGUUAUUAUGAAAAUCACAAGGAAAAUAUAUUUACUAUUCAUUAUGGAGUAGGCGGAGGAGGAGGAGGAAGAUGAGGGCUUGGUCUUGCUGUCUCAGGAGUGGCAGAGAUGGAAGAGGUGGAGGAGGUGGAAGGGGAAGCAGGAAAGGCAGGCAUAGUUGGUGUAAUUUUAUGGAAAUACAUAAUAUUUUCUGCCUUUUUGCUUUUUCAUUUCUCUAAACAGGUUUCUAUAUGAUACUAAUCCUUCUUCCACUAUCUGCUUUAGUUUUGUGCUUAUAUCACAGAAGGGUCUACGUUGUGAAAGAAGUCAAAAGCAGUCUUGGAUAAUAGAACUCAUCUGCCAAAUUGUCUAAUGUCAAUUUGUUUUCUGGCACUGGGCAGAAGCAGCUUCUGUUAUCUUAAUAUUUUUCAAGCCAAACCUCUUUUUAAAAUUAUUAAACCAUCCUUUGCUGGCAUUAAAUUCUCCAGCUUUAGAGUCUUUACCUUCCUUUUGCUUUAACUUGUCAUAUAAUUACUUCACUUCUUGAAUAUUA